Molecule: long non-coding RNA, 296 nt
Filed under: Homo sapiens (human)
Lineage: Eukaryota; Metazoa; Chordata; Mammalia; Primates; Hominidae
Description: HSALNT0360006
Source: RNAcentral
UCUGAGUCCACUACAAUGAAGAAAAUGGAGGCUCUUGCCUAAGAUCAUGAGACAGAUGAUGUGGCAAGAAAACUCUUGCCAGAUGCUGGCACCUUGAUGUUGGCACCAGCCUCCAAGACUCUGAUAAUGCCUUCUGAGAUGAUCUUGUACCCAAAUUCAUGACUCGGAGUCUGAUUUGGAAGAAACCACACUGAAAACAUCCCUAAGGUAGACCAAACUGGAAAAGCUGGAGGCAAAACCUUGAGUCAUGGUUUUUGAGGGAAAGACUUAUGUCUGGAAUGUUGUCAUCUCGAACA